RNAcentral lists this transfer RNA (69 nucleotides) under bovine gut metagenome. It matches the Rfam family "tRNA". From Rfam's summary of the family: Transfer RNA (tRNA) molecules are approximately 80 nucleotides in length. Their secondary structure includes four short double-helical elements and three loops (D, anti-codon, and T loops). The record is from RNAcentral.
ACAUAUAGCCAAGUUGGAAAGGCAACAGACUGCAACUCUGUGAUUCGUAGGUUCGAAUCCUGCUAUGUG